RNAcentral lists this transfer RNA (67 nucleotides) under Cerylon histeroides. RNAcentral's name for it is "tRNA-Asp". The record is from RNAcentral. Lineage: Eukaryota; Metazoa; Arthropoda; Insecta; Coleoptera; Cerylonidae.
AAGAAUUUAAGUUAAUAAAUAACAUUAGUUUGUCAUCCUAAAAUAAUUGAUUAAUCAAUAAUUUUUA